Small nucleolar RNA from Malania oleifera, 159 nucleotides. RefSeq annotates it as small nucleolar RNA snoR143. The transcript has a single exon. NCBI's taxonomy places the organism in Eukaryota, Viridiplantae, Streptophyta, Magnoliopsida, Santalales, Ximeniaceae. The record is from RefSeq and is a predicted model, not a curated record.
UUGCACCUAUAUCAUAGGCCUCUCUACUUUUUGUUAGUCAGGCCUGAGCUAGGUGCAUAGAGAAAAAGCUGUCUCACAGCAGCAGCCAGACAACUGUAGGGAUGGAUCCACUGGUAAUGGCUUAAUGUGCUACUUACCUACUGAUUUCAUCUCACAUUU